UGUCGGGAGUCUUCUUAGAGGCCGGGGGUGUUUGGUAGGCACUCCCUAUCUUUGUUGGGACGAAGUUCUUUAGGUCUCUGGUGCGGUCCAUCCUUCAUCUGUUUCUGUCAUAGCUCAUCACCCUUCCAUUUUAAUUUUCCUCCUCUCCUCAGAGUGAGGGCCCUACCCUCGCUUUUUGCGAGGUUGCAUAGGAGCGUGGAGGUGCCGCUGAGGG
Molecule: long non-coding RNA, 214 nt
Filed under: Elaeis guineensis (African oil palm)
Lineage: Eukaryota; Viridiplantae; Streptophyta; Magnoliopsida; Arecales; Arecaceae
Description: long non-coding RNA (EGUI_LNC046618)
Source: RNAcentral